UACGUAGGGGGCAAGCGUUGUCCGGAUUUAUUGGGCGUAAAGAGCGUGUAGGCGGCUAGAUAGGUCCGUUGUGAAAACUCGAGGCUCAACCUCGAGACGUCGAUGGAAACCAUCUGGCUAGAGUCCGGAAGAGGAGAGUGGAAUUCCUGGUGUAGCGGUGAAAUGCGCAGAUAUCAGGAAGAACACCCGUGGCGAAGGCGACGUCCUGGACCGGCAUUGACGCUGAGGCGCGAAAGCCAGGGGAGCAAACGGG
RNAcentral lists this ribosomal RNA (253 nucleotides) under uncultured bacterium. Its description in RNAcentral is "partial 16S ribosomal RNA". It matches the Rfam family "Bacterial small subunit ribosomal RNA", at positions 524 to 776 of the family's 1533-position model. The record is from RNAcentral.